Long non-coding RNA from Anolis sagrei ordinatus, 433 nucleotides. RefSeq lists it as uncharacterized. NCBI's taxonomy places the organism in Eukaryota, Metazoa, Chordata, Lepidosauria, Squamata, Anolidae. The record is from RefSeq and is a predicted model, not a curated record.
CUACCGUUUCUCUUUUGCUGUACUCGUUGAAAUCUGUAUCAAACUUGAACCAUGCGGAUAUUUGUCUCCUUUCUUGCUUUCUUUUCCUGGAUGCUCUUGUUUUCUCCAGGAGGUAAUGCUCAGAGUGACAUAGAUACUCCUGAGGAAUGUGAAAAGGCUGAAGGUUGGUGCAGAGAUGAACCUUGCCAGAUUGGACCCAUGGAAGUUGGAACAUGUGGAGAAGCAGGGGAUUAUUGCUGCUCAGGAAAUUACUGAAAUGGAAGAACAGUUAAGCAAGAAUUAUUGUCUUCAAUGCCAAACCAACUUCCUGCCAACUGACACAGAGAAGAGGUUACAGUGGAGUCAAAUUCAUGCACAACUGAUGGAGUCAUCAAUUUAAUUUUCCUAAGAACACAUGUAAUAUCUGAAAUAAAUAGAUAAUAGAUGAUCAAAA